CAUACAAAGGGCCUGAAGAACUUCUCUUGAGAGUUAAAUAGACAUUUAUUCCCCCAACGUUCACCCUAAAGUCCCAGGGUGGGUUACAGUAUUAAAACACAAUAUAAAAACGAUUUUAAACAACUUACAACUGUAAAAAUAAGGUGGGUCCUAAAAACAUACACCUCAAGUUUCAACGGCCAGGGUAAGCAGGUGCAUAUUCAGCAUUCUCCGAAAGCUGAGUAAUGAAGGUGCCAGAUGCAUCUCUGAGGGAAUGGAGCUCCACUGCAAAGGGGCCCCUACAGAACCCCUGGACCUCUGAGGGUAGAGGAACUACCAAGGGGGCCCCUUAGCUCCUGAGAGGGUCUGUAGGGAAAGAGGUGGCCUUUUACAUAUUUGGGGCUCGAGUCAUUAUUGGUUACAAGCCAGUCAACUCUUCCUGGAUAGCUGGAUGUAUGCAAUGUUACAAACAAUAAAUCAACACACAAGCACAAGUUUCGCAAAUUCCAUUUUACCAUAUAGAUGUUCUGAACCUAUACUCUUUAUGGGUCUGCUACAUACACUCAUAUACAAAUGCAAACCUACACCAACCCACCCCAGUACCAAAAUGAAAGCAUACAGGGUUUUAUGGACUAAAUAAGGUUUAGCUAGAUGAUAUGCUCCAGUUAGUAAAACUUUUAUUUUGGACCCUGUCAGCCUCUUCCUUUCUUUUCCAGAUGCUGAAAACCAGGACUCAUCUUGGAAACGACCUUUGAAAAGGCAUUCAGAAUAGCACAUAUCCACUUCUUUAUUGUCAUUCCUUCAGCUGUUUAGAGGCCCCUCAGUUCUUACCACAAAGCUAGAUGAAAUAUUAUUCUUACUGCAGCACAUAUGGGCAAAUAUAUUCAUGAGUGAGAUGAUCCCGCCACUGUCCUUCCUUCUCUUUCAACAGCACCAUCACCGUUUCCUCCAACAGUGCAGUCAUCAUGUCCUCCCCACACCCCAUGUUUACUUGAAGGUCCCACCAGCUUUCCUUCCACUGAUAAUAGACCUUAUAGGGAAGAGGGACAGUAGGAUCAAAGAAAAAACCUGGAUCCAUCCAUAACCCCAGCAGCGUAGCAUAGGGUUGCCAGAGGUGUCAUGGCCCCAGGCAUAGAUUUUUUAGGGGGGCCCCAGUGCAGCCCCACCUAGCGCUCCUCUCCCAGUCUUGGAGUUACCAGUGCUCACAGAGAGGAGCACCAAGACAGGCUGCACUGGGGGAGUGGGCGUGGAGGUGCCUGUUCUGUGCCCACCAGGAGCUGUGUCAGCUGGCCAGACUCUCUCCAGUGAGGGUGCCAGGAGGGCAGACGGCUCAGCGCACCCUUGCUUAGCUCUGGUGCAAGGUGCGGUUGGUCUGGUGAGGACGGUGGUGCCACAGCAGGCUCCUUCACCCUCUGCCCCCAUCCCCCAGUGCCUGCGCCCACCCCCAUGCACCUCUCUGGUGCCCACCUCGGGUGUCAUUUGCUCAUGCAAGGUCGCUGCAUCACCCAUGGAAUAGUGAGCCUACCUGAAAGAGCCCAAAACUGCACUCUUAAUUUACCUCAGGAACACUAACAUUGUAUGCAUUUUUACUCAGAAGCAAGCUCCUCCAUGUUCAAUGGGUGUUACUCCUUGAUAAGGACUGUAUCUUAUUUCACCAAAUAUGAAUAUAGUAUGCAUAAAUAAGGGGUGGGAGGUGGGGAAGGAAAGGAAAAUAUUCAGAGGCUGCCUAAAUGUAUUAAACGUCUUGAAGAAGAAUGCCAGGAAUCUUGUUCUGAACUGGCAGACUGUAUUUUAAUGCAGGAAAUUAUCUCUGAAACGUUACAAAACAUUAGAAAAUCACCCCAUUCUUUCUGUCACUUUAAAAUAAAUGAAGGCAGGUUGUCAAGAUGAUUGCCCUCAUGUUCUGCGCUGCUAAUGCAUAUGAAACAGAUUUAAUAGGGAGGUUUCAUUUCAACAAAUUUACAAAUCAACAGUAAAUGCACCAAUAUAUUUUUAUUUACCCUGCAAAUGGAGGACAGUCGCUUAAAGAGCUAUCUAGAGCUUCCAGCAAACCAGUACCUACAGCUGUGAUGCUUAGUACAAGUGGCAUGCAAAUGCUAGAGGACACUGUUUUAAAGAAAAACUACUUUUGAACAAGUAGAAUUGGAUUGUAAUCGUGAUGGAAGAGGGGAUAUCUAACAUGGGCUUGUGAGAGAAGACAAGUUCUUGACAACCCCGGGAAGUGGGAAGGUAGGCUGUGACAGGGGGCAUGAUUUGGAGUGGUAAAGCAGUGGAUAAGGGUAAGGUUAUGUGUCACUAAUGUGCUCUCCCCACACUUCUCCACUACAAGUAUAUUUCCCCAAAAGCAGCUUUUCUUUUCUUAUCUUAAAAAAAAAGUUUCAGGGUUCUUCUACAUUCAGGUUCGUGCCAUGUAGUUUUCUCAUAACCACAGUAAUUCAAAGCACCCACACAACAGCCCAGGUUGCACAUCAUGCUCAGACAAAUCUUGGCUUAGUGAGGUAGGUUUCCAGAGAGCAGCUUGCAGCUAAAUGGAGUUUUUGCCAGUGCACAAUAUGUUUUAGGCUGUACAUAGUUCUAGAAACAUCAUCUAUCCUAUCUAUCCUGCUAUUCCUUACAUUAAGGAAGGGCAGCAGUGAUCACUACUUUAGAAAACUUCUCCACAUAAAAGCAAUGACUUGCAAAUUGUGUAAUCAAAUAAUAAUUGAGUUUGGAGGUACUUAAGCUAAGGCCCUCAAGAUUAUGUUGCUGUAUAACAGUGUUCUCGAAGCUACAAACAUGAGUCUGACCAAACUGCGGGAGACAGUGGAAGACAGAAGUGCCUGGCGUGCUCUGGUCCAUGGGGUCACGAAGAGUCGGACACGACUAAACGACUAAACAACAACAACAAAUAACUCCCAUCAGGCUCAGGUCAGCAUGGCCAAUGGUCAGGGGUGAUGGCAGAUGUAGUCCAAUAACAACAAAACAACACAAACUGUAAUUCCAUGGGAUUACAGUAUAGCUCAUCUGUUAGGGAAACAAGCAAGCAAGCAGGAGUGGGCAUGAAAAGGGGAUGAUGGAGAUUAAGAAAAGACCCAUAGUGAUCAGGUGAAAAACAAACCUAUAGGUUUCACCAAAUGAACACAAAAAUUAAUUGUCUGAAUGGCUGUCUAAUGAUAUAUAUCAUGAAGCUCCUCCAGAUCUGCAAUGGGUGUGUUGACUUUCUUGAAAUGGCAGCAAACAGGGCUAUUGUGAACCGAUUGUCCAGUGUAAUAAUUGAUGCAUCUUUCCAACUUUAAGAUAUGACUGGGCAAGUGGCAAUCACCUUUUUAAAUACAAUGGGUCUUAUACCCAGAUGUUGCAAAUAUUUGUAAUAUUCCACCUUUGCUUAACACUUCUAAGAAUUGUGUGUUGUUGUACUCCAUUCAGCAUCUUAUCUCACAGUCAACCAGGACAGGAGUAACCUCACAAAAAGACAGACAUUAAAAGUCAGGGCUAUUAAAUGGAAUCCUCCACGUCAUUUACUACAAGUGUUUCUAAAAAUAUCUGGCAAAGUGGGUUGAUUAUUCUAAGUUCAUGCACUUUGCCAGAACAGAUGGGCUGCUUCAGGCUCACUAAGUGACCUUUCUCACACUGAUUUGCAGCGUUUUGUGUGCGUCUGCUUUUCUCAGAAGCCAGAGCCUCACAGGAUCCAUGACCACGCAGGAGACUUGUGAGAACUAGGCCCUGGUGGACCAUGGCAAGCCUCUGAGGUCAUGAAGUCAUCCAUUACAGCAUGGCAUAUGUAUCUCCACCCCCCAGCCCUGCUUACCACAGGCUGUGCAGCUGGAGAUAUGGGAACCUUGUUCAUGUUUUUCUCUUCCUCUAGGGAAUGGGGUGGGAUGGGGAGCAAGCAAGUCUGCAAAUGGACACAAACCAAACAGGUAUAAAGUAGUGGGAGAACAUAGCAUGCCCGGUAUGUAGAACAACUCACUUCUAGGAAUCUUCCUAAAAUGAUACAGUAUGUAAUAUAUUGAACUCAGGUCUUCAUUUUAAGGAUUCCGUGCAGUUUAAACUAUGAUGGUCCAAAGAAACUUCCUUAAGUGAAGACAUGAUUAAUAUUGUGGUUCAUUUGGAGAUGUGGGUAGAAAAGUAAUUUAUACAUGCCUGCCAUGCAUGUAUAACAUCUACUAUAGCAGUGGGGGAUCUCUGGCUCACAGACCAAUCUUGGCUUACCAUGGGAUCAAAUCUGGCCCACAAGGCC
Molecule: long non-coding RNA, 4198 nt
Filed under: Podarcis lilfordi (Lilford's wall lizard)
Lineage: Eukaryota; Metazoa; Chordata; Lepidosauria; Squamata; Lacertidae
Source: RNAcentral